Molecule: unclassified non-coding RNA, 368 nt
Filed under: Hevea brasiliensis (rubber tree)
Lineage: Eukaryota; Viridiplantae; Streptophyta; Magnoliopsida; Malpighiales; Euphorbiaceae
Source: RNAcentral
UUCUGCGAUCGCUGUGACCCAAUUAACUUCACAUCCGCUGAGUGUACAUAUUGCGGCGCUUGUUUGUGGAGUCAUAAGCAUCGGCUUAUACCGAUGGGUUUAGCGGUGCAGGGGAUGACAUCUGUUGUUGUAAGGAUAGUAAUUGGGUAAUUAAGCCAGUGUUAACAGUUUCUACUGGUUAAUGAAGUCCUAUACGUGAGAGCUUAUUGCGCAAUACGCUGUAUUUCCAUGUGCUAUUCAAUUGUGACCAGAAAACGUGUCCACUAGUUGAUGGUUUUCUUUGAAUUAAGUGAUCUGCAUUGGAUUACGACUCUUUUUUUGGAAAAUGCUACUGAUAAUGCAUUAAAAAGCUUGGACGCAAGUUUUUU